Molecule: non-coding RNA, 979 nt
Organism: Peromyscus maniculatus bairdii (prairie deer mouse)
Lineage: Eukaryota; Metazoa; Chordata; Mammalia; Rodentia; Cricetidae
Source: RefSeq, a predicted model, not a curated record
CAAGCUCACAUCUCUUACUCGUGACUAUUUCAGUAUGGAAACAUUCACGGGUACUGUCGUGGCUGAACUAUGUCCCCCUACCCCCCAAGAGUUCAUAUUGAACUCUUAAUCCUCCAAACCACAGAAGAGGAGAUUAGGGUCCAGGCAUUCUCAGAGGAAGACAUGGCGAUGGAGGAUUGGGCAUCUUGAAACCAGAGGGGCUCCGCAAGAAACCAGCGGCACCAACGCCGGUUCAGUGCUCUUGGACCUUCCAGUACAAGGAUGGUGAGGGGGCCGCUAAAGGGAGCUACCAAUGAGCAGAUGCCUGCAGAGGAAAUGCUGGCUCAGGAUCCAGGAGGAAACAGAGAGCCAACACUGUAUCCCAGGCUCCAGGCUCCAGGCUCCAAGCCCUCUGUGGAAUUAAAAUCGCCUUGAGGACACGCGCUUCAACCCUCACCUAAGAAGAGAGAAGCACAGCAGAGCUCGUGUUUACCGUAUCCUUCCUCUCCUCUCUUCAACUUUUCUUUCUUUCCUGCACCACCGCUCCAUGGUGGGAAACACCCAUCUUCCCUGCCUUGGGAGAGUUAGACCUACAGGCACCAACUAACUUGCCAAGGGCAACAGUAGAAACUCAGACAAAAAAGGGAUUUUACUUGCAUGGAUAUUAAACCCCAGCAGGUUGAUGGGGAGGUGUAUAAAAGCAUUUCCUCACCAAGUGUUUGAAGAUGAGGGUAUCUAAAAUGAUUCUGAGGAUAAAGAUCUACCUGAAGACCUGGUUAAAUAUCUUUUAAAUGCGUGUGUGUGUGUGCGCGCGUGCGCGCGCGUGGACACACGGAUACACAGACACACAGACACACACACACACACACACACACACACGUAUGUGUACUUACGCUUUCCGUGGUGCAGAAAAACUGUACAAUCUAAUUCAAUCUAAAGAAAAUAAUCACUACCCAUAAGUGCACAAUCUAAAUAAAGCCACAUUUUGUAAUUAGAUGGA